This 460-nucleotide ribosomal RNA is filed under the name uncultured bacterium. RNAcentral's name for it is "partial 16S ribosomal RNA". It matches the Rfam family "Bacterial small subunit ribosomal RNA", at positions 338 to 795 of the family's 1533-position model. The record is from RNAcentral.
CCUACGGGUGGCAGCAGUGAGGAAUAUUGGUCAAUGGCCGGAAGGCUGCACCAGCCAAGCCGCGUGAAGGACGAAGGUGCCAAGCAUUGUAAACUUCUUUUGUCAAGGGACAAAAUAAGGCUCGAGAGCCUGACCGAGGGUACUUGAAGAAAAAGCAUCGGCUAACUCCGUGCCAGCAGCCGCGGUAAUACGGAGGAUGCGAGCGUUAUCCGGAUUUAUUGGGUUUAAAGGGUGCGUAGGUGGUUAAUUAAGUCAGCGGUGAAAGUUUGUGGCUCAACCAUAAAAUUGCCGUUGAAACUGGUUGACUUGAGUAUAUUUGAGGUAGGCGGAAUGCGUGGUGUAGCGGUGAAAUGCAUAGAUAUCACGCAGAACUCCGAUUGCGAAGGCAGCUUACUAAACUAUAACUGACACUGAAGCACGAAAGCGUGGGGAUCAAACAGGAUUAGAUACCCGUGUAGUC